CAAAAAUAGGUCUCAGUUCGGACUGUAGGCUGCAACUCGCCUACACGAAGUUGGAAUUGCUAGUAAUCGUGGAUCAGCAUGCCACGGUGAAUACGUUCCCGGGUCUUGUACACACCGCCCGUCACACCAUGGGAGUCGGAAAUGCCCGAAGCCGGUGACUCAACCUGCAAAGGAGAGAGCCGUCGAAGGCAGGUCUGAUAACUGGGGUGAAGUCGUAACAAGGUAUC
This 227-nucleotide ribosomal RNA is filed under the name uncultured bacterium. RNAcentral's name for it is "partial 16S ribosomal RNA". It matches the Rfam family "Bacterial small subunit ribosomal RNA", at positions 1276 to 1500 of the family's 1533-position model. The record is from RNAcentral.